CCCGCCGGCGUAUGCAUUAGUACGGCGAGUGAAGCGGCAAAAGCUCAAAUUUGAAAUCUGGUACCUUCGGUGCCCGAGUUGUAAUUUGGAGAGGGCAACUUUGGGGCCGUUCCUUGUCUAUGUUCCUUGGAACAGGACGUCAUAGAGGGUGAGAAUCCCGUGUGGCGAGGAGUGCGGUUCUUUGUAAAGUGCCUUCGAAGAGUCGAGUUGUUUGGGAAUGCAGCUCUAAGUGGGUGGUAAAUUCCAUCUAAAGCUAAAUAUUGGCGAGAGACCGAUAGCGAACAAGUACAGUGAUGGAAAGAUGAAAAGAACUUUGAAAAGAGAGUGAAAAAGUACGUGAAAUUGUUGAAAGGGAAGGGCAUUUGAUCAGACAUGGUGUUUUGUGCCCUCUGCUCCUUGUGGGUAGGGGAAUCUCGCAUUUCACUGGGCCAGCAUCAGUUUUGGUGGCAGGAUAAAUCCAUAGGAAUGUAGCUUGCCUCGGUAAGUAUUAUAGCCUGUGGGAAUACUGCCAGCUGGGACUGAGGACUGCGACGUAAGUCAAGGAUGCUGGCAUAAUGGUUAUAUGCCGCCCGUCUUGAACAACGGACCG
RNAcentral lists this ribosomal RNA (589 nucleotides) under Saccharomyces cerevisiae (brewer's yeast). Its description in RNAcentral is "eukaryotic LSU rRNA". It matches the Rfam family "Eukaryotic large subunit ribosomal RNA", at positions 65 to 668 of the family's 3401-position model. The record is from RNAcentral. Lineage: Eukaryota; Fungi; Ascomycota; Saccharomycetes; Saccharomycetales; Saccharomycetaceae.